AUGUUCCAGAAGGAAGGGACCUGCACAGUCGCACUGCAGAGUGGUGACAGGAAGCCCAGCCCCCCUUGGUCCUGCCAGAACUCUGACCAGAGCAAGCUGAGUGCCCUGGGAAGAUCCUCUUCCCACAGAAGAGGAACGGAGGCCCUGGCCUCAGCCCAGCCCACAGCGAGCCAGGACCCAGUGGCCUGGGGCAUGGGUGGCAGGCUCGGAGACGGAGAGGCUCCAGGCAGAGACCCUCAUUCACGAUAAGGCGUUGAGCUUACUGCGUCAGCGCAUCCUUGCCCCCUGAGUCCUUUCAGGGGCGUCUCCUUAGCUGAGUUGUCCAGCGGGAGGCUGGCAGGG
RNAcentral lists this long non-coding RNA (342 nucleotides) under Bos grunniens (domestic yak). Its description in RNAcentral is "lncRNA (ENSBGRG00000008552.1)". Lineage: Eukaryota; Metazoa; Chordata; Mammalia; Artiodactyla; Bovidae. The record is from RNAcentral.